AAAUGCAGGAGAAGGAUGUUGAGGCAAUCAAACAAAAUCUCCUUCAAGGCUAUGAGAAUAGCUUUUGGACUUGCAGUGCUUCCAAACUUGAGUAUUCUGGUACCGCAAUUAUUUCACAGAUAGAGCCACGAUGGUGAAGGAAGGCUUGUUACUAUGGAGUUUGAUAUAUAUUAUCUGUGAAGAUGUAGAGAGAGACAGAGGCGUAGAAUGGGAACCCUCAAACUUAGGGUUUAUUUCUCAUACGUUAAAGUUAUAUACAAGAGAAGAAGGUAAUUACACUAAGACCCUUCUCUCACCACUAAUUAUACAUUACACCCAUAUCUUAACACUCCCCCUCAAGUUGGUGCGAAGAUAUCAAUCAAGUCCAACUUGAACACAAUGGGGUGGAAACUCUUGCUACCAAGCCCUUUUGUGAAUAUGUCAGCUAGUUGAUCUUCCGAUCUCACAAAUGGCAUACAUAUCAAACCAUUACUCAGCUUUUCCUUGAUG
This is a long non-coding RNA of Rhododendron vialii, 489 nucleotides long. RefSeq lists it as uncharacterized. The transcript is spliced from 2 exons. NCBI's taxonomy places the organism in Eukaryota, Viridiplantae, Streptophyta, Magnoliopsida, Ericales, Ericaceae. The record is from RefSeq and is a predicted model, not a curated record.